Molecule: ribosomal RNA, 387 nt
Filed under: uncultured bacterium
Lineage: Bacteria
Description: bacterial SSU rRNA
Rfam family: Archaeal small subunit ribosomal RNA
Source: RNAcentral
GCGCGAAAACUUUACAAUGCUGGCAACAGCGAUAAGGGAACCUCGAGUGCCAGGUUACAAAUCUGGCUGUCGAGAUGCCUAAAAAGCAUUUCAUAGCAAGGGCCGGGCAAGACCGGUGCCAGCCGCCGCGGUAACACCGGCGGCUCGAGUGGUAACCGUUAUUAUUGGGUCUAAAGGGUCUGUAGCCGGCCGGAUAAGUCUCUUGGGAAAUCUGACAGCUCAACUGUCAGGCUUUCAGGAGAUACUGUCUGGCUCGAGGCCGGGAGAGGUGAGAGGUACUUCAGGGGUAGGGGUGAAAUCUUGUAAUCCUUGAAGGACCACCAGUGGCGAAGGCGUCUCACCAGAACGGACCCGACGGCAAGGGACGAAAGCUAGGGGCACGAACCG